GACACACUGAGACCUUUCACAUCUCACUGUCACUUCUUGGAAGGGCUCUCUACCUCGUCUGCCUGCUGAGCAACCUCUUGGGGAGACGCGGGCCCUCUUGAGUCACUGAACUUGAGCUAUUUGGUGUUGAUGUUGGAAUUUCUGAUGAAUCUGCAGUCAGUCUCUCUCCUUGGGUGUCUGAGUGCCUAUGAAAAUUUUUAAGGGCUUGCUAGUUUAUGUG
RNAcentral lists this long non-coding RNA (220 nucleotides) under Homo sapiens (human). Lineage: Eukaryota; Metazoa; Chordata; Mammalia; Primates; Hominidae. The record is from RNAcentral.